UGCCUACGGGGCGCAGCAGUAGGGAAUCUUCCACAAUGGGCGAAAGCCUGAUGGAGCAACGCCGCGUGGGUGAAGAAGGUCUUCGGAUCGUAAAACCCUGUUGUUAGAGAAGAAAGUGCGUGAGAGUAACUGUUCACGUUUCGACGGUAUCUAACCAGAAAGCCACGGCUAACUACGUGCCAGCAGCCGCGGUAAUACGUAGGUGGCAAGCGUUAUCCGGAUUUAUUGGGCGUAAAGGGAACGCAGGCGGACUUUUAAGUCAGCUGUGAAAGUCCGCGGCUCAACCGUGGAAUUGCAGUUGAAAA
Molecule: ribosomal RNA, 305 nt
Filed under: uncultured bacterium
Lineage: Bacteria
Description: bacterial SSU rRNA
Rfam family: Bacterial small subunit ribosomal RNA
Source: RNAcentral